GGAGAGGUGGCAGAGUGGUCGAAUGCACCAGUUUCGAAAACUGGCAGGCUCGCAAGGGUCUCGGGAGUUCGAAUCUCCCCCUCUCCG
Molecule: transfer RNA, 87 nt
Filed under: bacterium
Lineage: Bacteria
Description: tRNA-Ser
Rfam family: tRNA
About the family: Transfer RNA (tRNA) molecules are approximately 80 nucleotides in length.
Source: RNAcentral